RNAcentral lists this ribosomal RNA (83 nucleotides) under Escherichia coli. Its description in RNAcentral is "partial 16S ribosomal RNA". It matches the Rfam family "Bacterial small subunit ribosomal RNA", at positions 1 to 81 of the family's 1533-position model. The record is from RNAcentral. Lineage: Bacteria; Pseudomonadati; Pseudomonadota; Gammaproteobacteria; Enterobacterales; Enterobacteriaceae. RNAcentral also lists the same sequence under 1 other name.
UUAAAUUGAAGAGUUUGAUCAUGGCUCAGAUUGAACGCUGGCGGCAGGCCUAACACAUGCAAGUCGAACGGUAACAGGAAUCA